RNAcentral lists this ribosomal RNA (492 nucleotides) under uncultured bacterium. RNAcentral describes it as "partial 16S ribosomal RNA". It matches the Rfam family "Bacterial small subunit ribosomal RNA", at positions 29 to 507 of the family's 1533-position model. The record is from RNAcentral.
AGUGAACGCUGGCGGUAGGCCUAACACAUGCAAGUCGAACGGCAGCACAGUAAGAGCUUGCUCUUACGGGUGGCGAGUGGCGGACGGGUGAGGAAUACAUCGGAAUCUACUUUUUCGUGGGGGAUAACGUAGGGAAACUUACGCUAAUACCGCAUACGACCUACGGGUUAAAGCAGGGGAUCUUCGGACCUUGCGCGAUUGAAUGAGCCGAUGUCGGAUUAGCUAGUUGGCGGGGUAAAGGCCCACCAAGGCGACGAUCCGUAGCUGGUCUGAGAGGAUGAUCAGCCACACUGGAACUGAGACACGGUCCAGACUCCUACGGGAGGCAGCAGUGGGGAAUAUUGGACAAUGGGCGCAAGCCUGAUCCAGCCAUACCGCGUGGGUGAAGAAGGCCUUCGGGUUGUAAAGCCCUUUUGUUGGGAAAGAAAAGCAGCAGGUUAAUACACAGCUGUUCUGACGGUACCCAAAGAAUAAGCACCGGCUAACUUCGUG